CAAAACACAGUGUGGGGCUGUGGAGGGUUUAGAGACGUGAACAUAUGGACACACAAGUUCAACAAUAAUUCAGAAUUUCCUAAAAUAGCACGUGAAAUUUAAAUGAUGAUGAUUAACCUCAUUAGGAUCCAUAUAAAAUCACAAAGAUAAAGCGGUGCAGAGAAUGGAUGGAUGUGAUAAGUAGUGAUUUUAUAUGGUUAUAUGGAUCCUAAUGAGGUUAAUAUGAAAGAAGGAUGUGUGCAAAGAUGAGCUGUGCCAAGUUUUGCGCACGGAUUAAUAAAAUAGUGGGAACAUUAUGUAAACUGAGGUCAAGGUGCGUUCAGAAUACAGUUAAAACUGCAUUUGUAGAAUUUAAGAGAAGUAAUUUUCAUAUAUAGUUUGUUUAAUGUCUCAUCAAGGCAAAUUAGAUUAAUAAAAUGUAUGUAUUCGCCCAAUUGUCAGUGUAUUAUCUGCAUCAUGGAUAUUUAUUUUCUAUUUCCAGCUUGUGUUUUCAUUUAGCAAGUUAUUUAUUUCAAUUUUCACAGUCCAGUCCUUUCCUUUGAACCUCUAAAUUUGCUUUUAAAUACAAAACAGUUCACUCAUAUAACACCGUUUUUGAUCUGCAAUCUCCAAAAUAAUUUAUAAGUGACCUUUUAGGUUUGGUUAUUUAGUUUUUGUAAUAGGAUUAUUAUUAUUAUUCUGAAGUUCAGCUGUUCAAAAUAGAAGCAUCGCGUAUUUUCAGCUCAGACACAAUUCAAACAGGCGCUCCUUUGUAAUCCCUGUAGUGUUGUCGGAAGUGUGCACACGGUACAACCCCGCCUCCGUCUGUCUGUGCUGCUCCGGUCGCCUGCAGCUCUGCACCCGGCCGGACUCCGUGAGCAAGCCAAAUAAUGUGCUGCCUUCACGUACCGCCGUGUGCAGUGGGUAAAAGUCCAAGACAACGGUGCCAGGAGUGGUACACUGAAUGGUGCCACGGAUGGAAUGCAAAUUAGAUGUGUGUUUACAACAACCGCGAGGUUUCUGUCAAAAUGUGUGAAAUAAUCAGGGUUUUAGGAUGAAACGGAGAAAGUGUGUGACAGAAAAAUGAGUAGGUCAUAACAUCUCGGUUUGCUCUGAAUCCUGAGAGAUGAAUACAGUUUUUCUCAAUUGCUAAAACACUAAACCCUAUUGUCUGAACCAAAUUCUCAGUUGCCUGAACCCACUUAUUGAAUCAGUCACUCUUUUGGCAAAACAAGCACUUCUCACCUGUUUAGACACAUCUUGUCAACACAUUGUCAUUGUGAUGCAACUGUGUUGCAUAAUGGUGAGCACAGGUGACAAAAGUCAAACACAGUUAAAGCUCAGGCAUCACCGGUUGAACACAGCAACUCAAAAUUGAUCACGCUUAUGGCUAAUGGUGAGGGUACAUAUAAGCCAGAGCACUGGUUUGUGAGGCACUACAAUGGACAGAAAUCUAAGAAGAGUAGUUCAUGUGAGAGGAGGUCGAGCAGGUCAAGGUGGUCGAGGUGGUCAGCGAGGACAAAGAACAGUAAUAUCUGAUGAAAUCAGAGCUACUUCUUGUCCAUGGUAUGACGAUGAGGGAGGCCGGACUUAGGGUACAACCAAACAUCAGUAGAUUCACUGUGUCCACCAUAAUCUGAAGAUUUAGAGAAAAGAACAGGUAAUUACCUUUUUUGACAUUAUAGUACGUAAAUGUUGACAACAUUACAUAUGUACAAUGACUGUACUAUAUACUGUACCACAGUAAACAUGUUUCAGUACAUCACUGUGCCAGUGUACUGUAGUAUUGUAAUGGAGGGUUAGUCUGACUGUACGCCUAUUCCAUGUAUGUAUUUUUGUAAGUGCAUGUUCUCUUUUUGUAGAACUGAAAGACUGCCACAUGAGGGUGGUAGGACAUCUAUGUUCUCCCCACACCAAGAGACCCUAAUUGUCGACAUGGUCCGUGAGAACACCAGUAAACCGCAUGAAAUUCAGCAGAGGAUCAUUGAGGACAAUGUGCAUUUUGAGGGUACUGACAGUGUCAGCCUCUCUACUGUAGAUCAUGUCCUCAAGCGCAACAGACUGCGCAUGAAACAGCUGUACAGAGUGCCCUUUGAAUGCAACUCUGAUACAGUCAAAGAGCAAAGAUUCCAAGUGGUUUUGAACUGAAUGCAGUGGAAAAACCCCAUGAAUACAUCUACAUGGAUGAAGCUGGAUUUAUUCUCACCAGAAGGAGAAGGAGAGGCUGUAGUGUGAUUGGCCAACAGGCCAUUGUUGGUGUCCCUGGGCAGCGUGGUUGCAAUGUCACAUUGUGUGCUGCCAUCAGCAACCAUGGUGUUGUCCACCAUCAUGCCAACCUAGGGCCCUACAACACUCACCAUCUCCUCAUUUUCCUCAAUCACAUGCGAGAUGCUCUGUUAGGGCAGCAGGAUGAGCAGCCCAUCUAUGUUGUUGUUUGGGACAAUGUGAGUUUUCACAGAGGCCUCCAGGUUAGAGUGUGGUUCAAUAUGAACCAAGGUUUUAUCAAUCUUUGCCUUCCACCGUACUCCCCUUUCCUGAGCCCCAUUGAAGAAUUCUUCUCCUCAUGGCGGUGGAAGGUAUAUGAACGCCAACCUUACACCAGGGUGAAUCUCCUGCAAGCCAUGGAACUGGCCUGUGGGGACAUGGGUGUGGAGGCAUGUCAAGCCUGGAUACAGCAUGCCAGGGGGUUUCCCCCGUUUCCUGGCCAGAGAAAAUGUGGCCUGUGAUGUAGAUGAAGAUGUAGAAUGAUGCUGUGGCAAAGUAAUGCACUUCUUUUCUUUGUACUUCAUUUGUAUAUUUUUGUGCUUUAUUUUUACGUACAAGUGCUACAUGGAAAUGCACAGGAUUUCUGUUUUUUGCAAAUUCUUUAUUCUAUGUACAAGUGUUACAAAUGUCCAGAUAUUUUGUUUUUGUAACAUGCAUUUAGGCUAAAUAAACAUUUAUUUGUACCGCUUCA
Acanthochromis polyacanthus (spiny chromis) is the source of this 2935-nucleotide long non-coding RNA. RefSeq lists it as uncharacterized. The record is from RefSeq and is a predicted model, not a curated record. The transcript has 2 exons. NCBI's taxonomy places the organism in Eukaryota, Metazoa, Chordata, Actinopteri, Pomacentridae.